This 460-nucleotide ribosomal RNA is filed under the name uncultured bacterium. RNAcentral's name for it is "partial 16S ribosomal RNA". It matches the Rfam family "Bacterial small subunit ribosomal RNA", at positions 338 to 795 of the family's 1533-position model. The record is from RNAcentral.
CCUACGGGGGGCAGCAGUGAGGAAUAUUGGUCAAUGGACGAGAGUCUGAACCAGCCAAGUAGCGUGAAGGAUGACUGCCCUAUGGGUUGUAAACUUCUUUUAUAUGGGAAUAAAAUGUUCCACGUGUGGGAUUUUGUAUGUACCAUAUGAAUAAGGAUCGGCUAACUCCGUGCCAGCAGCCGCGGUAAUACGGAGGAUCCGAGCGUUAUCCGGAUUUAUUGGGUUUAAAGGGAGCGUAGGUGGAUUGUUAAGUCAGUUGUGAAAGUUUGCGGCUCAACCGUAAAAUUGCAGUUGAAACUGGCAGUCUUGAGUACAGUAGAGGUGGGCGGAAUUCGUGGUGUAGCGGUGAAAUGCUUAGAUAUCACGAAGAACUCCGAUUGCGAAGGCAGUUCACUGGACUGCAACUGACACUGAGGCUCGAAAGUGUGGGUAUCAAACAGGAUUAGAGACCCCUGUAGUC